UGGGGAAUAUUGGGCAAUGGGCGAAAGCCUGACCCAGCGACGCCGCGUGAGGGAAGAAGGUCUUCGGAUUGUAAACCUCUGUUGACAGGGAAGAAGAAAGUGACGGUACCUGUAAAGAAAGCCACGGCUAACUACGUGCCAGCAGCCGCGGUAAUACGUAGGUGGCAAGCGUUAUCCGGAUUUACUGGGUGUAAAGGGUGUGUAGGCGGGACGGCAAGUCAGAUGUGAAAUACCGGGGCUUAACCCCGGGGCUGCAUUUGAAACUGCGGUUCUUGAGAGUGGGAGAGGUAAGCGGAAUUCCCGGUGUAGCGGUGAAAUGCGUAGAGAUCGGGAGGAACACCAGUGGCGAAGGCGGCUUACUGGACCAUUACUGACGCUGAGACACGAAAGCGUGGGGAGCAAACAGG
RNAcentral lists this ribosomal RNA (407 nucleotides) under uncultured bacterium. Its description in RNAcentral is "bacterial SSU rRNA". It matches the Rfam family "Bacterial small subunit ribosomal RNA", at positions 355 to 776 of the family's 1533-position model. The record is from RNAcentral. RNAcentral also lists the same sequence under 1 other name.